RNAcentral lists this ribosomal RNA (253 nucleotides) under uncultured bacterium. RNAcentral describes it as "partial small subunit ribosomal RNA". It matches the Rfam family "Bacterial small subunit ribosomal RNA", at positions 26 to 285 of the family's 1533-position model. The record is from RNAcentral.
AGGACGAACGCUGGCGGCGUGCUUAACACAUGCAAGUCGAGCGGAAAGGCCCUUCGGGGUACUCGAGCGGCGAACGGGUGAGUAACACGUGAGCAGCCUGCCCUUAGCUUCGGGAUAGCUCCGGGAAACCGGAUUAAUACCGAAUAUGACUUUGGCUGACAUCAGCAGAAGUGGAAAGUUUUUCGGCUAGGGAUGGACUCGCGGCCUAUCAGCUAGUUGGUGAGGUAACGGCCCACCAAGGCGACGACGGGUA